Molecule: ribosomal RNA, 253 nt
Filed under: uncultured bacterium
Lineage: Bacteria
Description: partial 16S ribosomal RNA
Rfam family: Bacterial small subunit ribosomal RNA
Source: RNAcentral
UACGGGGGGGGCAAGCGUUGUUCGGAAUUACUGGGCGUAAAGGGCUCGUAGGCGGCCAACUAAGUCGGAUGUGAAAUCCCCAGGCUCAACCUGGGAACUGCAUCCGAUACUGGAUGGCUUGAAUUCGGGAGAGGGAUGCAGAAUUCCAGGUGUAGCGGUGAAAUGCGUAGAUAUCUGGAGGAACACCGGUGGCGAAGGCGGCAUCCUGGACCGAGAUUGACGCUGAGGCGCGAAAGCCAGGGGAGCAAACGGG